This 243-nucleotide ribosomal RNA is filed under the name uncultured Actinomycetales bacterium. RNAcentral's name for it is "partial 16S ribosomal RNA". It matches the Rfam family "Bacterial small subunit ribosomal RNA", at positions 88 to 334 of the family's 1533-position model. Lineage: Bacteria; Bacillati; Actinomycetota; Actinomycetes; Actinomycetales. The record is from RNAcentral.
UACUCGAGUGGCGAACGGGUGAGUAACACGUGGGUGAUCUGCCCUGCACUUCGGGAUAAGCUUGGGAAACUGGGUCUAAUACCGGAUAGGAGCCAUCUUUAGUGUGGUGGUUGGAAAGUUUUUUCGGUGUAGGAUGAGCUCGCGGCCUAUCAGCUUGUUGGUGGGGUAAUGGCCUACCAAGGCGGCGACGGGUAGCCGGCCUGGGAGGGUGUACGGCCACAUUGGGACUGAGAUACGGCCCAG